UGAACGCUGGCGGCGUGCCUAAUACAUGCAAGUCGAGCGAACAGACGAGGAGCUUGCUCCUCUGACGUUAGCGGCGGACGGGUGAGUAACACGUGGAUAGCCUACCUAUAAGACUGGGAUAACUUCGGGAAACCGGAGCUAAUACCGGAUAAUAUAUUGAACCGCAUGGUUCAAUAGUGAAAGACGGUUUUGCUGUCACUUAUAGAUGGAUCCGCGCCGCAUUAGCUAGUUGGUAAGGUAACGGCUUACCAAGGCAACGAUGCGUAGCCGACCUGAGAGGGUGAUCGGCCACACUGGAACUGAGACACGGUCCAGACUCCUACGGGAGGCAGCAGUAGGGAAUCUUCCGCAAAGGGCGAAAGCCUGACGGAGCAACGCCGCGUGAGUGAUGAAGGUCUUCGGAUCGUAAAACUCUGUUAUUAGGGAAGAACAAAUGUGUAAGUAACUAUGCACGUCUUGACGGUACCUAAUCAGAAAGCCACGGCUAACUACGUG
RNAcentral lists this ribosomal RNA (495 nucleotides) under uncultured bacterium. RNAcentral describes it as "partial 16S ribosomal RNA". It matches the Rfam family "Bacterial small subunit ribosomal RNA", at positions 30 to 507 of the family's 1533-position model. The record is from RNAcentral.